GUAAGUAACCAGUUUAUCAGAGAAAUUCUGUGGUCUUGAUUGUAAAUGAUAUUAUACUGGCCCACAAAAUUUCUUUUAUUAAACGUUUGAACUUCA
RNAcentral lists this microRNA precursor (96 nucleotides) under Schmidtea mediterranea. Its description in RNAcentral is "microRNA sme-mir-2148 precursor". The record is from miRBase by way of RNAcentral. Lineage: Eukaryota; Metazoa; Platyhelminthes; Tricladida; Dugesiidae.